Long non-coding RNA from Saccostrea cuccullata (small rock oyster), 1054 nucleotides. RefSeq lists it as uncharacterized. The record is from RefSeq and is a predicted model, not a curated record. The transcript has 3 exons. Lineage: Eukaryota; Metazoa; Mollusca; Bivalvia; Ostreida; Ostreidae.
GGUUGCAUCUCCUGAAAAGAGUCGUCCUGUCUCAUGUCCAACAAUAUCUGCGAUGUUGGAGGGUGCUAUGGACAACAGCAUCCACUUCGUAGAUGACCUGUCUACCUUGCUAGACCUAGACGUACAAUAUAAAAACCCCCGUAACUGGCAAGGACUGGCCCAGGCGUUCCUCGGUCUAUCUUACAAUAAGAUCAUGGAAAUCAGACACAAAACAAAAGAUCAUUUUAAGGAAGGCAUCUUGCCCUUACUGAGUUCGUAUGGAUAUACAGUGUAUGACGUGACAAAUUACUUCUCUCUUCUGCCGUCACGUCGAGUUGACGUUAUCGAAUGUAUUCAGCGUUAUCAUCCAAAUUGUCAAAAAUAUGGAGAAAUCUCAAUAGUCUUAAAUCUAAUAAUUUAAUGGACGCAUCAUAAUUUGAGUAUUUUUGAAGGUAAAAAGUCAUAAAUUCCAAUUUAGUACUACCAGUAAUUUAAAAUACAGCAGUUUGUUAAAAAAUGAAUUGAGAAAAAAAUCACUGGUUGGACUUAUACUCGGCACUUGAUGCUACAGACGGAGCUUUUAAUUUGUGACACCUUCUGCGAUACGAGACCUCGGUUUAUACGGUCUCAUCCAAAGGACCAGUAUACAUGUCCCGCAGUGGGAUUCGCACCCGCGACGUGAGGAUUAAACGCCUUACUCUGCAACUCUAGAGUUCAGGAUCUGACCACUGCCCUCGUGGGUGACAGACAGGAUACUAGUAUUUGUUAAUAUUAUUAAAUCGGACGAUUUUUAGUAUCAGGAUACAUGCCGACAUUCCCAUAUCGAGUAACGGGUUAUUCGGACAUUUUUUUUGUUACAUAACACCUGAUCAAAUAAAAACACACUUGCCCAAGGUAUACAUUUAAUGUAGUACCAGUAGUAUAAGAGCGUUUUUGCAAUUUGGCAAUUGUUUUAAUAUACACUGAAAAAGUCCGUGUGAAACGGGGAGUGUAUAUAUUUAAAAUAUAAAGACACAUCUUCAAAAUAUACACCACAGUGUUUUCUAUCCGAGCUAGUGAGUACUGUAACAUUUUA